Long non-coding RNA from Cavia porcellus (domestic guinea pig), 1923 nucleotides. RefSeq lists it as uncharacterized. Lineage: Eukaryota; Metazoa; Chordata; Mammalia; Rodentia; Caviidae. The transcript has 6 exons. The record is from RefSeq and is a predicted model, not a curated record.
GGGCUCCAUGCCAUGCUGAGGAGAGUCAGGCCCGCUGCAUCACAGCAGGCCAACGCGCCUGAAAGAAAGCUACCGAGACUGAUGAGGACAGCAGAAACAAGAGCAUGAGGGCCCUUCUGAGAGUGAUUUCACAGCCGCAGAACCAUCCUCCGUGAUUAAAUGGGACGCUGAUAAUGCGCACAGUGCAGAGAAAAAAGUGACACGGCAAGUUUGGGCUCAACUGAGGGCUUCGUGAUCGGAGGUGAAGACCAACAAAAGCCACUUGUGAAUGUUGACUUCAACACAGGCUGGUGAAGAAAUCUCACCACCCGCUGGAGGUGACGCCAGCCUUUGCAGGCAUGUUAUCCAGCUUCCCUGGCUCCUAACCAGCCCUGAUAACGUCUGUGAGGGAAGAGUCCUCGCCACGCCAGACCUGUAAUGGAACCCAGCAGACGUCAGACAGGCACAUAUGCUAAGACAGCUCACGCCUCAGCACCGCUGGCUGCAGUGGGGAAGGAAGGAGGAACAGGGCUUGACAGUACCACUUCUGGCCUGGCAAACUGGGUGUUGUUCAUGAAGACAGAGAAGAAAACAUCUAUGCUGGGUCUCUUCCUCAAUUCUGCAGCAGCCUCCCAAGCACCCAAGCUCCAUGGUCUCUCCCGCAGGACUCCUUGGCAUGAGGCAGGCCGGAGAUGUGAACCACCUCGUAGAAGUGGUCAGAGUUGUGAUGACCCAUUUUGCCGAAGUGGAAACUGAGAUUCGUAACAAAGAAGCCCCAACUGUGCAUGGCAGCAGGAGUCACCCCUACUGAGGGUCACUCCAGCUUCUUACAGGUCUACAAUGAAGCACUCUAGCCUGAGACCCUGAAGGCUUCCUUCUGCUACUGUCUCCUACGCCUGGUGCCCCAAGUCAUGGAGUAAUGGCCUCUCCAACCCCGGGGCCUUGUAAAACCCAUGGUUCCCUUCACCUGAGCCUCGUACAACUUGCAUUUCCUGUUCAUAUCGCCAGGUGGCCCCUGUUGCUCGUAACGGGUCUGAUCCCAGGUCAGCAUUUGUCUCUGCAACCCUUGAUGUCAAGAUCCAUCUGAGUCCAGAUUUUUACACGGGAGACAGCGUCUCAUUUAAUCCCCCCAAAUAUACAUGAAGGGGCCUCAGAAUCUCCAGUUGACAGAGUCUCAGAGCAAUUAUGUGACCUGCUCAGGGUCACAUGGCUGGGCAUUUACACUCACGCCAGCUUUGGGAAGGGACCAAGGGGACUAACCGAAAAUAGCUAAUUUGGAACUAAGUCUGCCCCAAGGUGCUAUUUAUUCUUGGCAUUGUCAAACGGAAGAAUCAUGCUCCUACUUCACAUUUGCCCCCAGCUCUUGUUCCCAUUACUCAACUUCCAUGUAUUUUAUUUUGGUUUAUUUAGUCUAUUGCCCACAAUAAAUUAUUUUCUUAUUCACCACUAAAAAAGAUGUAAUUUCAGUAGUGAACACUAGAUGUCACUAUCCACCAGCUUUAGAAAACCUUUUGGUAACCAUCGCAAGUCUCACACUGACCUGCUAUUGUGCUACAUAAUCUAUAAAGACUGAAACAGCACCACAAGGCAAAAACUCCCAUUACAAAUGCUGGAUAAUCCACAGCCUCACUCUGAGGGAUGGAUAUAUAUAUAUAUGUAUGUUUAUUUUUCCCCAGGUGAGAAAUAAUAGCAAGGGCAUAUUAAGUACCAGUGAAACCGAGGAAGUAUAUUUUAUUUAGAUCAUGUAUUUGAAAACUCACAUUGUAUGCCUGAAGUACUUGACUAGCAUUCUGGGAACUGGUUGGAAGCCCAAGGAUAAAACCUACAAAAAACUCAUCAAAGCUCUUAUAGGGGAGACAAAUAUACAUGAAGGUUUUGCCAAGUAGUUUUGAGAAAAUGAAGCAGUAUUCAAAAGCACGUAUUUGAAUCCAAGAUCUUUUUAUA